This 450-nucleotide ribosomal RNA is filed under the name uncultured bacterium. RNAcentral describes it as "bacterial SSU rRNA". It matches the Rfam family "Bacterial small subunit ribosomal RNA", at positions 346 to 793 of the family's 1533-position model. The record is from RNAcentral.
AGGCAGCAGUAAGGAAUAUUGGUCAAUGGACGGAAGUCUGAACCAGCCAUGCCGCGUGGAGGAUGAAGGUCCUCUGGAUUGUAAACUUCUUUUAUAGGGGGCGAAAACGGGUCAUUCUUGAUCAACUGACGGUACCCUAUGAAUAAGCACCGGCUAACUCCGUGCCAGCAGCCGCGGUAAUACGGAGGGUGCGAGCGUUGUCCGGAUUUAUUGGGUUUAAAGGGUGCGCAGGUGGCCCGGUCAGUCAGUGGUGAAAUGCGGCCGCUCAACGGUCGAACUGCCAUUGAUACUGCCGGGCUUGAGGGAAGUGGAGGCCGCCGGAACGGACGGUGUAGCGGUGAAAUGCAUAGAUAUCGUCCAGAACGCCGAUUGCGAAGGCAGGUGGCUACGCUUCAACUGACACUGGGGCACGAAAGCGUGGGGAGCGAACAGGAUUAGAUACCCUGGUAG